Long non-coding RNA from Cuculus canorus (common cuckoo), 3695 nucleotides. RefSeq lists it as uncharacterized. Lineage: Eukaryota; Metazoa; Chordata; Aves; Cuculiformes; Cuculidae. The transcript has 2 exons. The record is from RefSeq and is a predicted model, not a curated record.
CUUGUGAGUCAUGGAAAACCACGUUUUGUGUAUUUCAUGAUGCCUUGUUUCUAGUAUAAUUUGAGUUGGUUAUUUAUGAACAUUUCCUUGGGUCUUGUUUGUAUUUUCAUGUAUUCAAGAACAAUAUUUAGGACUUCAUAAUAUCUAAUAGUAAAUAUAGAAUAGACUUAUAUGUAACUUUGAAUGCUUCGGUUUACUUGAAAGCUGAUUUUAUUAAAGGAGCCACCUCGAGCUGCACCUGUCUAACAAUCCUUUGAUGUUUUUCUUACAGGGGAAUCUUUCAUUGAGAUGAUUGAAAUCACUGCAGUGAGAAUGAAAAUUCCUUGGGCUCCUUUCCUUUUAAAAGCUGCAUGCAAGAACUGUGUGGUGAGUCAAAUGUAGACUAAUGGUUAUGUAAAUGUCACUAAUUUUAGAUACAGUCAAGAUCUGAAAGUGUGUUUCCUUUUAAGAUUUUUUCUUCACUAUCAUGACUCAGUAUCACUUGCUAAUCUCAUUUUAUUAGCACUGUUAUUUUACCAUUAAAAUACACAUGACUUCUUCAAAUAAGUGCUCGCAGCUUCAAGUUUGUGUCAUAUAGAUCUUUUCAAAGGAGAAAGAAGCUUGGAUGCAGUGGGGAUUUGUUUUGAGUUCAUGCUUUGCAAGCCUGCUAUUGGUGCAGCUGCACAGGUACAAACAUGACAUAGAUGAAUAUGAAUUUAAGUUCUUAUGAUUCAUAAAUCUGCAUAAUUUUACUGUAUAGAGUUUCAGCCUGGUGUAUGUACUAGUAAAAAUCAGUUUUCUUGUCUAUCCCUGCUAUAGAUUUGAGCCAGUGAGGUUACUGAUGGCUAAAACUUCCAAUUUAGUUCAGACCUGAGCAGUUCUCAGUAGUAAAGCUCUCCAGUAUUAGCCUACAGCUUUUUGUAAAGUGAACACUUCUGUGUGGCAAAAUGAGCUUGACUACUCAGAAAAAGAUAUGCUAUCUGACUCAAAGUUUGAUAGCUUUCUCACUGAGGCUUCUUUAAGUAGUACUGUCUUGUAUUGGCUUAUCUGUUACUGCUUAAUACUAAAGACCUGCACUUACAUUUCAGCCAUUUCAAAACUUAAAAUGCUUGACCAGACUAUGUGGGUUAUAGACGAAAAAGACAUUAUUCUUUCACUAUUCCCCUCCCUUUAAAGGUCACUGCUUUUUGCUAGCAGACUGCAGGCUGUGGUGUUUGCAGAUGGCACUCCAUCCUGUUGCUCUUGUAGAUCUCUUUAAUGUAUCUAGGCUUGUUCUUCAGGACUUCUCUGAGUAGCUGUGGAUCUAAAGUGCCAGUAAGAAAGAUUUAAGAGUGUGUAACAAAUCAGUCAGUUUGCAUGACUUCAACAAAGUCCAGUGGCCAAAACAUUUGUUCCUACCUACUUCACUGUUGCUCGUGCAGGCCUUCCUGUGAAUAGUGGAACAGACUUGUUACAAGGUUCACCUUGUAGCUGGUACAAGGCAGGAUAUGGCAGGGAGUGGGAAGAAGCAGAAGGGGAAAGAUUGCGCUCUCUUGUUUGUAACCUAGCAGCUUGUAACAGUUAGAGGUGAUGAAAAGUUCCUAAACAUUUGAAAAGAAUGUCCUAUUUCUCACAUGGUUCACAGUUGCCUUAAAUAGUAUUAGCAACUGUAUUUUCCAGAGAUUUACUUGCAUUGGGGGUGCCAUAGCCCAUGGCUGAAUGGAAUUCCCUGUGCACUGCAGGUCUGGGGUCCUAAGAAUUGUACCUGAUGUAAGAAAGGAUGGCUUGCUGUUUUCAGUUCAGGUGCUUAUUUUCUGCUACUCUUAGGAACUGUAUGGGGAAAAAAGAUGCUUAGUUCAUAUAAAAGGGAAUGAAACGAUAGGCCUGCUUCUAAAUAAACUGAGGCAAGUAGCUGUAUAGGAGUGAAGAUGAUUAGUGAGAGAAGCAUGUCUAAAAAUCUGGUGCUGACAGGAAGGACAGGUCUGAUGAACCAGAAGAUUGGAAAGAUUGGGACAGCUUAGGCAAAGAUUUGGGGGUGGUUCUUGAAAUUGGAAGAAGGAGCAACUGAACAGAAGGGAACUGGUCUGAGGCAAAGAGAACACGAGUCAGGCUUGGGGAAAGGGGUUUGCACACCUUAGAUCAUUCCUGACAUUCAGUAGAGUGCUCUCCACUUGAGAUUUGGAAGGGAAUGCAGACUGUAAAGCAGCAGCCUCUGAAAUUGCUGUCAAUUUCAUGCCCCUCAGUGCAUUCCACAUAGAAGAGGGCAGCCUUAUCAGUGCUCUCAGCUACUUUGGAAAUUUUGGUCCUGAAAAUGAAUCACAAAAUAAUGAAGAAGUUGAGGUCGGAAGGCACCUCUGGAGAUCAUCUAGUCCAAGCAGGAGCUCAGGCAGAGCAGCUCUUUUAGGGCCAUGUCCAGUUGGGUUUUAGAUAUCUUCGAGGAUGGAGACUCUGCAACCUGUCUUAUUCAGACAAUUUCCUGCAUUUCAUUUUGUGCCUGUUGCCUCCUGUCCUGUCACUGGACACAACUGAGAACACCCUAGCUAUGUCAUCUUUACUCUUCCUUACCCCCAUCAGCAGGCAUUUCUAAUCUUUAAGAAUACACAGACGCAAGCCUUUUCUUCUCCUGGCUGGAGUCCCAGCUCUCUCAGCCUUUCUUCUCAUGAAAGAUGCUUCAGUUCUCUCAUUGUGUUUGUGGCCUUUUGUGGAAGUAAAUAAAAUGUUUCAACAAGUAUGAGAAUUGAAAUUCAGAGGGAAAUGCUUCUUUUGGUGGGAGAAAGCCCAAAACACAACCUAAUAACUUAACUGUAAAAACUGUAAAAAGAACAUGAAUCUCCCAAAGCAAAAGGCUGAGAAGUUAGAUAACUCCUUCUUUAAGAUUCUGCAAUCUUCUUUUGCCCCCUUGUGUUAGUAUACUACAAAGCAAUCUUCAUGAUCGUAUAGAGUAUUUAAUCUGAUUAUAGGAUUGGCAGGGACUAGUGCUGAGCCAAGGAAGGUGUUUGUGGUGUGAGCUGUGUGAGCAAGAAACCUGAUGCUGCUAUAGGUGCUGCAGAAAUUGGUAGAAAAUUCUGUAGGCAGUGCAACAAAAGACUGUAAGUAGAGGAAACCACCACCUCUUUGUGGCUACGUCAAAUGAGAAUUCCUAGGAACUGGACAUGAUGUUUUUCUGCCUUUAUUUUUAUAUGAUGCUAAACAAGUUACCAGGCCAUUGUUUUUGUAUUCCUCACUUCAGAGGUGUCUGAUUUAAGAAGCACUGGCUGUUCACACUUGCUGCUCAGCUUCUUAGGAGUUGGCAUGUGAGUUGAAAUACUAUGUAAUGUUAUGUCUGUUGACAGGCUCCUGUCUUCUUAAGCAGGGUACCUCAAACUGUUGCAUACUACUGUAGUUUCUACACCUCUGUGUCACAUUUGAAAUAGGGAUAAUAAGCUCUUACCUAGAGGGUUUUGUUUCUUUAAAAAAAACCCACUUCAGUAGCUGUACUACAAUAAUGCAUUUUCUCAUGGAAUUUUCUGUGGCAUUUAUUAAUUCUGAUCUUGGAGGAAGAGGUGAGUAUGGUGCAUCUUUUUAAGGACCAGAUCUGCAAUCAACUUUAUUUGUUACAAGGUCAAGCUGAGAAACCGAGAUUUUCCAUGUUGUCAACUUAUGAUCUACUCGUCCAGUGCUGUGAACUCCAAAAUACUCUUGAUUUGUGUGCUAUCUUCUCAGUGAUUACUUUUGCACAUAUAGCCAUUACUAUGAAA